AUUGCAGGACACAUUGAGCACUGAUUUUUCGAACGCACAUUGCGGCCUCGGGUCCUGCCCGGGGCCUCGCCUGUCUGAGGGUCGGAUAAGACUUGCAAAGGAAGGUUUUCUUCCAAUUGGCCGCGUCGGAGAUCAAUGGUCUUCGUCGGCUCAAGUACUUAUAGGAUCCUCCCCGGUCGAGAGAGCACAAGCCCUAGAGCGUGCUCGUCGCUCGGAGAAGACGGACAACGUUUCUCCACGAAGACGAGACGGUUUGUUGUUGAGAAGACCAAUUGAAAGGGGAAGAGUUCCUACGUAGACAUAGUCUACAGAGACUGUAUAUUAUGACGACCUCAGAUCAGACGAGAUGACCCGCUGAAUUUAAGCAUAU
This 370-nucleotide ribosomal RNA is filed under the name Araneus blumenau. RNAcentral's name for it is "eukaryotic LSU rRNA". The stretch from base 1 to 84 matches the Rfam family "5.8S ribosomal RNA", at positions 71 to 154 of the family's 154-position model. Lineage: Eukaryota; Metazoa; Arthropoda; Arachnida; Araneae; Araneidae. The record is from RNAcentral.